Long non-coding RNA from Vanessa tameamea, 399 nucleotides. RefSeq lists it as uncharacterized. The transcript has 3 exons. The record is from RefSeq and is a predicted model, not a curated record. NCBI's taxonomy places the organism in Eukaryota, Metazoa, Arthropoda, Insecta, Lepidoptera, Nymphalidae.
AAAAACUUUCGUCAUGCUCGACGAUGCAUUUUUAAGCCUUUUUAUAUACUUAUUGCUUAAACUUAAAAUCAGUUACGCUCAUAUCGACGGCGCAAAGCUAGAAGAGGAAUGUAAAAUCGCAGACAUAUGCCGUCACGACCAAGUUCCUAUAUGCGGAAUCGAUUCCUGCGGGGAAAUGAGGACAUUCAUCGAUACCUGUGACAUGCACGAGUUCAACUGCGACAGCAAAAAAGAUUUCGUACAAAAGCCGGUCCAUGAAUGCUGGGUGACGUGCAAGCGCGGUAGAAGCUUCAAGAAGAGCGCCUACGGGGCCGACUGUGACCUAAAAAAUAUUAUUAAGUAGGCAGAAUAUAAUUUAGCAUGGGAAUUUUAUUUAUUAUGAUUUGAAUAUUGACGUUA